RNAcentral lists this ribosomal RNA (490 nucleotides) under uncultured bacterium. RNAcentral's name for it is "partial 16S ribosomal RNA". It matches the Rfam family "Bacterial small subunit ribosomal RNA", at positions 30 to 507 of the family's 1533-position model. The record is from RNAcentral.
AUUGAACGCUGGCGGCAGGCCUAACACAUGCAAGUCGAAUGGUAACAGGAAACAGCUUGCUGUUUCGCUGACGAGUGGCGGACGGGUGAGUCAUGUCUGGGAAACUGCCUGAUGGAGGGGGAUAACUACUGGAAACGGUAGCUAAUACCGCAUAACGUCGCAAGACCAAAGAGGGGGACCUUCGGGCCUCUUGCCAUCAGAUGUGCCCAGAUGGGAUUAGCUAGUAGGUGGGGUAACGGCUCACCUAGGCGACGAUCCCAAGCUGGUCUGAGAGGAUGACCAGCCACACGGUAACUGAGACACGGCCCAGACUCCGACGGGAGGCAGCAGUGGGGAAUAUUGCACAAUGGGCGCAAGCCUGAUGCAGCCAUGCCGCGUGUAUGAAGAAGGCCUUCGGGUUGUAAAGUACUUUCAGCGGGGAGGAAGGGAGUAAAGUUAAUACCUUUGCUCAUUGACGUUACCCGCAGAAGAAGCACCGGCUAACUCCGUG